This 332-nucleotide ribosomal RNA is filed under the name uncultured bacterium. RNAcentral describes it as "bacterial SSU rRNA". It matches the Rfam family "Bacterial small subunit ribosomal RNA", at positions 568 to 898 of the family's 1533-position model. The record is from RNAcentral.
CGCGUAGGCGGUGCGGUAAGUCUCUUGUGAAAUCUCCGGGCUCAACUCGGAGCCUGCAAGGGAAACUGCCGUGCUUGAGUGUGGGAGAGGUGAGUGGAAUUCCCCGUGUAGCGGUGAAAUGCGUAGAUAUCGGGAGGAACACCUGUGGCGAAAGCGGCUCACUGGACCACAACUGACGCUGGUGCGCGAAAGCUAGGGGAGCAAACAGGAUUAGAUACCCUGGUAGUCCUAGCCCUAAACGAUGAUCGCUUGGUGUGACAGGUACCCAAUCCUGUCGUGCCGGAGCUAACGCGUUAAGCGAUCCGCCUGGGGAGUACGGUCGCAAGGCUGAA